RNAcentral lists this ribosomal RNA (109 nucleotides) under Cavia porcellus (domestic guinea pig). Lineage: Eukaryota; Metazoa; Chordata; Mammalia; Rodentia; Caviidae. The record is from RNAcentral.
GUCUACGGCCAUACCACCCUGAACGCGCCCGAUCUCGUCUGAUCUCGGAAGCUAAGCAGGGUCGGGCCUGGUUAGUACUUGGAUGGGAGAGUAGACUACACAGAAGUCU